AAGGGGGCGGGCCGCGUGGAGCUGUAAUGGGGGGGGGGCGAGCUUGUAUCGGAAUGACGGGGGGUAAAGAGAACGUAGGCGGGGUCGUAAGUCUGUGGUGAAAUCGUGGAGCGCAACCCGAGAACUGCCUCCGAUACUUAGAGGCUUGAAUCCGGGAGGGGUGAGCGGAACUGCGAGUGUAGAGGUGAAAUGCGUAGAUAUGCGCAAGAACACCAAUGGCGAAGGCAGCUAACUGGGCAGGUACUGACGCUGAGGUGCGAAAGCGUGGGGAGCAAACAGGAUUAGAUACCCGGGUAGUC
This 299-nucleotide ribosomal RNA is filed under the name uncultured Slackia sp. RNAcentral's name for it is "partial 16S ribosomal RNA". The stretch from base 51 to 299 matches the Rfam family "Bacterial small subunit ribosomal RNA", at positions 547 to 795 of the family's 1533-position model. The record is from RNAcentral. Lineage: Bacteria; Bacillati; Actinomycetota; Coriobacteriia; Eggerthellales; Eggerthellaceae.